This is a long non-coding RNA of Dreissena polymorpha, 650 nucleotides long. RefSeq lists it as uncharacterized. NCBI's taxonomy places the organism in Eukaryota, Metazoa, Mollusca, Bivalvia, Myida, Dreissenidae. The record is from RefSeq and is a predicted model, not a curated record. The transcript has 3 exons.
UGCGGUUCAAAGUCUUAAACUGGGGUUAACAAGCGCGGAAUGUACAUUUAUUAUCUAACUGUUGAAUAUAUACAGUAAAAAUACUAAAAUGAAAGUUUUGACACACCAUGCGAAUGUCCUAUCAAGUAAAGGUGACGAUUAACCAAAAUGAAGUGUAAUAUAACCUAAUUUCAAUGGGUUUUAUGCGGUUCGAGUGUUCACAAAACACCGGUUGACCUUGAAAAUGACAUGGGACGAUGAUGGGUAAAAAACAAUCUCGUCGAAUAACAUUUCUCAAUUAUCAACGAGUUUAAGCCGUUGACACUGCAUUGCAUGGGAAGAAAAGGUGAUAUUAGAACAGUGUUCAGAUGGAUCUAUUCAGUGUCAUAACUGUAAAAAAAUGGUCGCAUCGUCAGUGCUAUGACAUGUCGGACACAGACCUAAAAUCAUGGUCUCCAUCGUACCUUAAGUUUGUGUGUCAAAAGUGUGGAUUUCGUAAUGGAAAGUACGACGUCGAAGCUGCACUCAAGAGCAGUCAUGUGCAAUAGGUGCGUAUCUAAAAUUCUUGUCAAGAGAGUCUACAGACAGUUGGUGCCCUGGAGAUUGGAGACUCCCAUCAUAUGCUGUCACUAAAUGGAGCGCAGUAAAUUUUGCGACCUACACAUUUUCCA